UAAACAGAUCACAAUCUAAACUUCAUGCUUUAUAAUACUGUUUUCAAAGCUAACUUCAACAAACGUAAAUUGGGUAAUUUUUUCUUCUUUUUUUUUAUUAAAUCCAGAGCACAAUAUAAACAGAUCAUUCAAAAAAAUACAAAAACCAUUUCCAAUUGAAAACUUCAACAACAGAUUUACAUGCAAUUGCAAAGCCAAAUAAAAGGAAAUAUGGAAAUAUAUAUUAUGCUUUUUCUGUUAAUGAACUAGUAGCCUGAACCAUAAUGAUGAGUGUAAUGGCCCAAUAUUGCCCGGCCCAAUAGAUAAAAAAAAUCAAAUACCAAAGUUUAUUAAACAGUCCAAUUAACAGAAGCCCAAAUUCAAACCUAAGCAUGGCCCAAAUUACAAACCCAUUAUAGCCCAAAUCCCCAACCCGAUUGCAGAAACCCUAGCAACUUGCAGCAAGCCAUCGCCGCCGCUCUUCAUGCACACAGCAGCCACUGCCCUCACACACGAGCCUCACAUGCACCACCAUCACGCAAGCCUCCGUACGCGCCGCGCCACGUCACCGUACGAACGUACCUGCAAACAGAGCAAACAACACAGCAGAGACAAAGAAAAACAUUGUAUUUCUGUUUUUUUUAUUCGGCUAUAAAAAGAGCCAACGAAAUCUGUAAAAAGGGCCUCCUUUUUUUACACACGAUCAAUACAAAGAAAAAAGGUUUUCUUUUUCCUCUUUUCCAUUCUUUUUCGAUUGUUUUUCUUUCUUUUUGUUUCGUUAUUAAUCAUAUACAUAAGCAUAGAUAUAAAAUAAAGAAAAAGAAGGGAGAAGAGUUCAGGAACAUUACCUGGUUUGGUGCGUCGCCGAAUCCCCCUCCGUUCAGGCCAAGGUUGAAUAGGCGAGGGGGGCUUUCGUUGCUAAAGCGGCGCAGAGGGGUGGAGGUUGGUGUCUGUGUGUCGAUAGACUGGUUUUAGGGUUAGGAGGGGUCUUUUAUAGUGCGGAAAACGGCACCGUUUAGGGCCCGUUUCAGUGGCCCUAAAACGCGCCGUAUUUGUCGAUUAACCCCAGCAACCCGCGCGGUGACCCGACCCGAGGGAAGGAUCCGCGCGCUUUGGGUCUGAUGGGAUUAUUGCGCAACGAGCCCCUUUGCAUUUGCUUUCAUUUUAAUUCGAUUUUUAUUCGUUUUUUAAUUGUUACCUCAUAUUUAGUUCCAAUUGCAAUUAGAUCCAUGUUUGAACGGCAUCGUUUUCAUUGAUUGGGUUUGAAGGCCUGGUUUUGUGUGUCUAAAUUGCAGCAAUGGUCCCUCUGAUGUGCAAUGGUUCUCGAUUUGGUUGCCUUCACACUUAGUUCAAAGACGUCCUUGAGAUUUUGUUUUAUUUUUUAAAUUGUCCUUGUCUUCUUUUAAUUUAUAAUGCUAUUAUUAUUAUUAUUAUUAUUAUUAUUAUUAUUAUUAUUAUUGUUAUUAUUACUAUUAUUAAUAUAGGUAUUGUUAUCGUGUUGGUUUAUAUCUAUUUAUUUACUUUUACUUUACAUUAUUUUAUUUUAUUAUGUAUUAUUUUGUAAUGCUUUUAUCAUGUAUCAUUUUAUAAUUUUUUCUAUGUUAAUCUAGUAUGAUAUAUAUAUAUAUAUAUAUGUGUAUUUUUGUGAUCUUAUUUUAUAAUACUUUUUUUAACCCUUUUAUAUGCCUUUGCGUUUUAAAGAUUUAUAAUAUUUUGUGCAAUACUAUUAUAUAUAUAUAUAUAGAUAUACAAUUUAUAUUAGACCAUUUUUAUCGUACAUAUACGUAUAUAUAAUUUAUAUCUUGAAACCCUAUUUUAUUAUAUUUUUUGUAUUUCAACCUCUAUAUUCAUCAUUAUAUGUAUAUUAUUCUUUAUAUUAAACCUUCCAUUUCACAUAUAUAUUUUUAAAAAAUCAAUAUGUAUUAUUCUUUCUUCCUUGUUAUUUUUAUCUCUUAAAAUAGAUUGAUAAUUCAUUUAAUUUUUGAAUGUUGUAUGACCGAGGUUAUCGUUGUCAUUCUUGUUUAAAUUUAUUCAUUGCUUGUUCAUAUUAUUUGAUGAUUUAUCGUACACUAGCAUGUAUCGUAAUUUACGAAUUAUCAUUUUGAAUUAUGCACUACCAUUCAAUCGCAUUACAUUUGUUUGGAAAAACAUCGAAAUCGUUUUGCACAUAAACCUACAAAAUACGCAGUAUCCAAAAUUCUCGAGAGGAUUGUGCCCUAACUUACUGGGCUUCAAUUCUCCUUGUUGAAUUUAAAUAACCGAAUACCCCUUUUUCAAUUUGAACAUAAAAAUUCCAAAAUAAAAAGCUCAUUCUCGAGAAAUCGAUACGUAGUGUCCUAACGCAUUGGAUAUGACGUAUUGCUUUCUCGAGACGUGGAUUUUUCUAACAAAUAAAUAAAGGCAAUAUUUGGUGUUUAGAAAUUUUAAGAAAUUGAACCUUAACUUACUGAGUUUUGAUUUCUCGAUUGACUCAAAUAAUCAGAUAUCCUUCUCAAAAUGCAUAGGUUUAAAAAAAAUCAAGAGAUAAACUUAAUUUCGCGAAUUUAAAAUGUUACACUCUAACUUAUUGAGUGUGACAAUCUAUUUCCUUGAAAUAAAUGAGUUUCAUCCUCCGAUUCGUUUCAUUCAAAUUUUUUAUUUAAAAGGAUUGUAUUUUUAAAAUCUCUUCAAGAUUUCCACUCUAAGACAUUAAACAAUUAAUUUGGUACUAAUUUUGGGCGUCACGAGGGUGCUAACCCUUCCUCGUGCGUAACCGACUCCCGAACCUGUUUUCUAAAAAUUCGCAGACCUAAAAUUAUUUUCAAGGUGAUCCGAUCUCACCUCAAUAAAAGAUCGGUGGUGACUCCCAUUUUAAAAGCCGAUCCCCGAUUUUCCAAAAUAAAAAAUGGGUUUCGACAAUGAGAAUCAAUAGCCGAAUUAACACGAUUUGCUUUUUGAGAAAAAUUUUCAAACAAAAAAAAAAAAGAUUCCAAGUGGAGAAUUGAAAUGAACAUAAAUCGAAAGGCUAUGGAGAUUGAAACGAUACUUACCUUGAAGAGAAAGAAACUACGACGGAGCGGAAAAUUUCAGGCCUCCAAAAACCAGAAAAACAAAAAAGCUAUUCAUAGAAAUUUUGAGACUGGAAAUUAAUUUGCACGCCGCGGAAUUUUAUUAUUAGAAAAAAAACAACGAAACCCAAUAAAUGGUUUUUAAGCAAAUAGUUAAAAAUUUCAAAACUGAUAAAAUGAAGAAAAGAAAAACUGUCAAAACUGAUAAAAUGAAGGAAAUAUCAAAGAAGGAAAAAAUAAAUUACCUGAAAUAUGAGAACAGAAGGAGAGAAAGUUGUAGAUCUGUGGGAGAAGAUGAAGGAGAAGAUCUGAAAAAUGGCAAGAAAGUGAAGGAGAAGAUGAAGGAGGGCAGAGAUUGGAAAAUGGGAAAAAAA
RNAcentral lists this long non-coding RNA (3400 nucleotides) under Gossypium raimondii (Peruvian cotton). RNAcentral's name for it is "long non-coding RNA (GRAI_LNC007897)". Lineage: Eukaryota; Viridiplantae; Streptophyta; Magnoliopsida; Malvales; Malvaceae. The record is from RNAcentral.